Molecule: non-coding RNA, 350 nt
Organism: Lactuca sativa (garden lettuce)
Lineage: Eukaryota; Viridiplantae; Streptophyta; Magnoliopsida; Asterales; Asteraceae
Source: RefSeq, a predicted model, not a curated record
AGGUGUUGGAGGAGAGGAAUGACUAUGCGGGGAACAAAUUUGAUGAUGAUGUGUUUGAUGUAAAUGAUUAUAGUGAAGUUAAAGAGGAGUCGGAGGAGAGGAAUGACAAUGCGGGGAACAAAUUUGAUGAUGAUGUGCCGGACGAAGACGAAAUAAUAAUAACGGGAAUUGUAGAUUAUUUUGAUGAGUAUGAUGGCAAAGAAGUUACACCCGAUAAACCGAGGAUUCGAAAACCAUCACAAUAUUUGUGCCCUCCUUACACCGAGUUGCACACGACACCGAAGCAAAAAAGAAGAACAAAAAAGAAGGUUGAUAUCAAAUCAACAAGCCCCGUUCCUCCUCCAGUUCUU